This is a long non-coding RNA of Cyprinodon variegatus (sheepshead minnow), 245 nucleotides long. RefSeq lists it as uncharacterized. Lineage: Eukaryota; Metazoa; Chordata; Actinopteri; Cyprinodontiformes; Cyprinodontidae. The record is from RefSeq and is a predicted model, not a curated record. The transcript has 3 exons.
GGAGACCCUCACUGCCUACAAGGUUCUGUGCGGAAAGUGUGGCAACGGACUAGGCCACGAGUUUGUAAACGAUGGUCCAGAAGAGGGAAGGUCCCGUUUUUGAAUCUUCAGCCACUCGCUGAAGUUUGUCCCAAGGAGAGCUUAAUGAAAGCAGUGGGCGUUACGCUGCCCUGCAAGGGUUGAAACCUGGGUUUGAAUGGAGACAAAGCCAUUCUAAAGCACAUAUCAAGGUGCUCAUUCAUGAG